CAGUAGCCGCGGGAAUACGAAGGGUGCAAGCGUUACUCGGAAUUACUGGGCGUAAAGCGUGCGUAGGUGGUGGUUUAAGUCCGUUGUGAAAGCCCUGGGCUCAACCUGGGAAUUGCAGUGGAUACUGGGUCACUAGAGUGUGGUAGAGGAUAGUGGAAUUUCCGGUGUAGCAGUGAAAUGCGUAGAGAUCGGAAGGAACAUCUGUGGCGAAGGCGACUAUCUGGGCCAACACUGACACUGAGGCACGAAAGCGUGGGGAGCAAACAGGAUUAGAUACCUCUGUAGUCCCUGUCUCUUAUAC
RNAcentral lists this ribosomal RNA (301 nucleotides) under uncultured bacterium. RNAcentral describes it as "partial 16S ribosomal RNA". It matches the Rfam family "Bacterial small subunit ribosomal RNA", at positions 509 to 807 of the family's 1533-position model. The record is from RNAcentral.